AAGGGAUCGGUGGGGGCUCGAUCUCAUUACAGGGAUGCCGGCGACGCGGCGACACAAGUGGUCCACGAUGGGAUCCAGUGUUCGCUGGUCUUCCCAGUGGAUCGAGCUGAGGCGCUCAAGGCGAUCCAGUGGCGCGCGGCCUUCUCAGUGGAUCCAGCCGAGGCGCUCAAGGUGAUCGAGCGGCGCGCUGCCUUCUCAGUGGAUCCAGCCAAGGCGCGCCAGGGAAUCAUCCUAGGGUUUGGAGUUGGUGACCGAGGAGGAGGCGGCACCGGCGAUGGUGCGCAAGCCGUGCACGAGGCCACAGCGACUCCACAAAGUCUGCUUUGCUCUCCCCGACCCUCGGUGGCGUGCUCUCCGAUCUCCACUCCCUCCUUCUCUCCAUGCUCGCCGCAUCGCUGCCCUCCCCAUCACCAUGGCGACGAUGUUCUAAAGACUCGAUGUCAUUGACCCUCAUCAAGGCAUCUAACAUGGAGCGACCUGUUAAUGUCGUCGACACAUAUUUUCUAUUUGAUCAU
Molecule: ribosomal RNA, 515 nt
Filed under: Triticum aestivum (bread wheat)
Lineage: Eukaryota; Viridiplantae; Streptophyta; Magnoliopsida; Poales; Poaceae
Description: partial small subunit ribosomal RNA
Source: RNAcentral